This 61-nucleotide transfer RNA is filed under the name Myrmedobia distinguenda. RNAcentral describes it as "tRNA-Ala". Lineage: Eukaryota; Metazoa; Arthropoda; Insecta; Hemiptera; Microphysidae. The record is from RNAcentral.
GGGGUUAUAGUUUAUUAAAAACAUUUAAUUUGCAAUUAUAAAAAACUCAAAGUUUUCCUCA